RNAcentral lists this ribosomal RNA (497 nucleotides) under uncultured bacterium. RNAcentral describes it as "partial 16S ribosomal RNA". It matches the Rfam family "Bacterial small subunit ribosomal RNA", at positions 28 to 507 of the family's 1533-position model. The record is from RNAcentral.
GAUGAACGCUGGCGGCGUGCCUAAUACAUGCAAGUCGAGCGAACGGACGAGAAGCUUGCUUCUCUGAUGUUAGCGGCGGACGGGUGGGUAACACGUGGAUAACCUACCUAUAAGACUGGGAUAACUUCGGGAAACCGGGGCUAAUACCGGAUGAUAUUUUGAACCGCAUGGUUCAAAAGUGAAAGACGGUCUUGCUGUCACUUAUAGAUGGAUCCGCGCUGCAUUAGCUAGUUGGUAAGGUAACGGCUUACCAAGGCAACGAUGCAUAGCCGACCUGAGAGGGUGAUCGGCCACACUGGAACUGAGACACGGUCCAGACUCCUACGGGAGGCAGCAGUAGGGAAUCUUCCGCAAUGGGCGAAAGCCUGACGGAGCAACGCCGCGUGAGUGAUGAAGGUCUUCGGAUCGUAAAACUCUGUUAUUAGGGAAGAACAUAUGUGUAAGUAACUGUGCACAUCUUGACGGUACCUAAUCAGAAAGCCACGGCUAACUACGUG